RNAcentral lists this long non-coding RNA (512 nucleotides) under Homo sapiens (human). RNAcentral's name for it is "HSALNT0352153". Lineage: Eukaryota; Metazoa; Chordata; Mammalia; Primates; Hominidae. The record is from RNAcentral.
AAUGCAUUCAUUUUCUGCAGUUGAAGGGACGAUCCCGGAUCUGAAAGAAAGAGCCACAGUGACUCCAAGAGUGGAGCCAGGGCAUGCUGGACACUGCAUAGCUAUGGCCACGUGUGUCACCUCCGAGGGAGAUGUGAGAGAAACACAGAGGGAUCGCUUGUGACUGUGCCUUCUCGAUGUAUGAUGGACUGUUCUGCUCAAAUAACAGCAGUAGGGCUGAUUGGAGCCAUUGUACAGUGUCAGGAACAUACCAGCACACUGAGAAUAGCAUCAUGUCAUAAGGACCCAGAGCAGGUGGACCCUGCUGUGAUGCACAAAGAGGACCAUGCAAGAUAUGAUAAAGAUCUAUGUCACUGAAUUUUGGUUCUGUAUUUGUAUCUCAGCUUCCCGGAAAUAAAAAAGAAUUCUAACAUUCAUACUUUCAGUAUUUUAUGUGACAGGUUUUGUUGUCAAAAUCAAGUCUGAGAGCAAUGUUUAUUGGGGCCUUUAAUUGGAGUCACCAAGCGAUAAAG